UACGUACCGUACGAACGUUAUUCGGAAUUACUGGGCUUAAAGCGCGCGUAGGCGGCUCGGAAAGUCGGGCGUGAAAUGCCGGGGCUCAACCCCGGGACUGCGUCCGAUACUUCCGAGCUGGAGGUAGGUAGGGGAGAUCGGAAUUCCUGGUGUAGCGGUGAAAUGCGCAGAUAUCAGGAGGAACACCGGUGGCGAAGGCGGAUCUCUGGGCCUUACCUGACGCUGAGGCGCGAAGGCCAGGGGAGCAAACGGG
RNAcentral lists this ribosomal RNA (253 nucleotides) under uncultured bacterium. Its description in RNAcentral is "partial 16S ribosomal RNA". It matches the Rfam family "Bacterial small subunit ribosomal RNA", at positions 524 to 776 of the family's 1533-position model. The record is from RNAcentral.